AACGAACGCUGGCGGCAUGCCUAACACAUGCAAGUCGAACGAGACCUUCGGGUCUAGUGGCGCACGGGUGCGUAACGCGUGGGAACCUGCCCUUAGGUUCGGAAUAACUCCCCGAAAGGGGUGCUAAUACCGGAUAAUGUCUUCGGACCAAAGAUUUAUCGCCUUUGGAUGGGCCCGCGUUGGAUUAGCUAGUUGGUAGGGUAAAAGCCUACCAAGGAGACGAUCCAUAGCUGGUCUGAGAGGAUGAUCAGCCACACUGGGACUGGGACACGGCCCAGACUCCUACGGGAGGCAGCAGUGGGGAAUAUUGGACAAUGGGCGAAAGCCUGAUCCAGCAAUGCCGCGUGGGUGAUGAAGGCCUUAGGGUUGUAAAGCUCUUUUACCCGGGAUGAUAAUGACAGUACCGGGAGAAUAAGCUCCGGCUAACUCCGUG
This 433-nucleotide ribosomal RNA is filed under the name uncultured bacterium. RNAcentral describes it as "partial 16S ribosomal RNA". It matches the Rfam family "Bacterial small subunit ribosomal RNA", at positions 29 to 507 of the family's 1533-position model. The record is from RNAcentral.